This 177-nucleotide ribosomal RNA is filed under the name uncultured bacterium. RNAcentral's name for it is "partial 16S ribosomal RNA". It matches the Rfam family "Bacterial small subunit ribosomal RNA", at positions 335 to 526 of the family's 1533-position model. The record is from RNAcentral.
AUUCCUACGGGAGGCAGCAGUGGGGAAUUUUCCGCAAUGGGCGAAAGCCUGACGGAGCAACGCCGCGUGAGGGAGGAAGGUCUUUGGAUUGUAAACCUCUUUUCUCAAGGAAGAAGUUCUGACGGUACUUGAGGAAUCAGCCUCGGCUAACUCCGUGCCAGCAGCCGCGGUAAUAAU